AGCUCAGUUGGUCAGAGCAUGGUGCUGGUAACACCAAGGUCCUGGGUUCAAUCUCUG
Molecule: transfer RNA, 57 nt
Filed under: Ficedula albicollis (Collared flycatcher)
Lineage: Eukaryota; Metazoa; Chordata; Aves; Passeriformes; Muscicapidae
Source: Rfam by way of RNAcentral